GUGGCUGCCGGAUGGGUGCUCUCUACUAGUGCUGUGCAGAGGCUUUCGCUGAGGCUGCUGUGAGCCUGUAGGCUUUCCACCUAUGCUAUGGAGCCAG
Equus caballus (horse) is the source of this 97-nucleotide non-coding RNA. The record is from Rfam. NCBI's taxonomy places the organism in Eukaryota, Metazoa, Chordata, Mammalia, Perissodactyla, Equidae.